UUGGUGUUUGUGCUUUCACUACAAAAACACACAAAAGACUAUCUAACUAAUGUCUUUCAUUUUCAGGGCUUUGUGUUUCUAGAACAUUAUGAUCUAAAGGAAUACGAUCCGUUUCUUCUCCACAUCAAAAAGCCACGCUACCUCAAGGUGAAGGUGAUAUUUUGUGACUGAAAUGUUUUGCUAAAUAUAUAUUAAAGCAACUUUUGACACACUGAAGAACUGCAAAUGCUACUGAUGAAGUAUUCUCUGAUUUAUCCACAGCUCGGUACGGCAGACUUAAAGAGAACAGCCUCUUCUUGUGAAGCAGGAUCUAGAUACACAAGGAGACAAGUAGAGAAGCUACCUCAGAGCAACAUCCUGCUACAGGCCUUUUCACAUCAUCCAGUCACAAGCCAGAAGCACUCCAGUGGUGAAUGAAACUGGAGGAAGGAAGUCUAGCAGGUUCGUCAACAUACCGUACCGGAUCAGUUCCACCACCACACCGGAUGGAAGGUGCCAUAGGAACGGUUGCUUGGUCUCCAAAUGUGGAUGUCAGCAACAACCAGCAAGUUUACAACAACACCAGUCCUCGGUUACAUCGAAAUAAAACCCAUAUUAACAAUUCAUCUUUACCUUCCCUUCUAACUACCUCAAAUGUUACCCCAGGCACUAAACCUGGGA
Molecule: long non-coding RNA, 660 nt
Organism: Trematomus bernacchii (emerald rockcod)
Lineage: Eukaryota; Metazoa; Chordata; Actinopteri; Perciformes; Nototheniidae
Exons: 3
Source: RefSeq, a predicted model, not a curated record